AUAUUGCGCAAUGGGGGAAACCCUGACGCAGCAACGCCGCGUGAGUGAGGAAGGUCUUCGGAUUGUAAAACUCUUUUAUUUGGGAAAAAUUGUCUAGUGGCUAAUAUCCAUUAGAUUUGAUGGUACCAAAGGAAUAAGGACCGGCUAACUUCGUGCCAGCAGCCGCGGUAAUACGAAGGGUCCAAGCGUUGUUCGGAUUUACUGGGCGUAAAGCGCGCGCAGGUGGGCGUGCAAGUCGGAAGUGAAAUCCUGGGGCUCAACCCUGGGGCUGCUUCCGAAACUGCAGGUCUAGGGACUGGUAGAGGCUGGUAGAAUUCCCGGUGUAGCGGUGGAAUGCGUAGAGAUCGGGAAGAAUACCCGUGGCGAAGGCGGCCAGCUGGGCCAGGUCCGACACUGAGGCGCGAAAGCGUGGGGAGCAAACAGG
RNAcentral lists this ribosomal RNA (424 nucleotides) under uncultured bacterium. RNAcentral's name for it is "bacterial SSU rRNA". It matches the Rfam family "Bacterial small subunit ribosomal RNA", at positions 361 to 776 of the family's 1533-position model. The record is from RNAcentral.